Molecule: small nuclear RNA, 108 nt
Organism: Dipodomys ordii (Ord's kangaroo rat)
Lineage: Eukaryota; Metazoa; Chordata; Mammalia; Rodentia; Heteromyidae
Source: Ensembl
GUGCUCGCUUCGGCAGCACAUAUACUAAAAUUGGAACGGAUACAGAGAAGAUUAGCAUGGCCCUUGCGCAAGGAUGACACACAAAUUUGUGAAGCAUUCCAUAUUUUU